This 77-nucleotide non-coding RNA is filed under the name Lotharella oceanica. The record is from RNAcentral. Lineage: Eukaryota; Cercozoa; Chlorarachniophyceae.
GAUUCGAAGGAAGAGCCACCAAAAAGCAAACCUCCAGGGGAAAGAGAAGGGGACAAAGCUGAAAAGAUGAAGAAAGA